GGAGAGGUGGCCGAGUGGCUGAAGGCGCUCCCCUGCUAAGGGAGUAUACGGUGAUCCCGUAUCGAGGGUUCGAAUCCCUUCCUCUCCGCCA
RNAcentral lists this transfer RNA (91 nucleotides) under Alphaproteobacteria bacterium. Its description in RNAcentral is "tRNA-Ser". It matches the Rfam family "tRNA". From Rfam's summary of the family: Transfer RNA (tRNA) molecules are approximately 80 nucleotides in length. Their secondary structure includes four short double-helical elements and three loops (D, anti-codon, and T loops). Lineage: Bacteria; Pseudomonadati; Pseudomonadota; Alphaproteobacteria. The record is from RNAcentral.